Molecule: ribosomal RNA, 588 nt
Filed under: Trichoderma lixii
Lineage: Eukaryota; Fungi; Ascomycota; Sordariomycetes; Hypocreales; Hypocreaceae
Description: eukaryotic LSU rRNA
Rfam family: 5.8S ribosomal RNA (bases 218-372)
Source: RNAcentral
GUCGGAGGGAUCAUUACCGAGUUUACAACUCCCAAACCCAAUGUGAACGUUACCAAACUGUUGCCUCGGCGGGAUCUCUGCCCCGGGUGCGUCGCAGCCCCGGACCAAGGCGCCCGCCGGAGGACCAACCAAAACUCUUAUUGUAUACCCCCUCGCGGGUUUUUUUAUAAUCUGAGCCUUCUCGGCGCCUCUCGUAGGCGUUUCGAAAAUGAAUCAAAACUUUCAAACAACGGAUCUCUUGGUUCUGGCAUCGAUGAAGAACGCAGCGAAAUGCGAUAAGUAAUGUGAAUUGCAGAAUUCAGUGAAUCAUCGAAUCUUUGAACGCACAUUGCGCCCGCCAGUAUUCUGGCGGGCAUGCCUGUCCGAGCGUCAUUUCAACCCUCGAACCCCUCCGGGGGGUCGGCGUUGGGGAUCGGCCCUGCCUUGGCGGUGGCCGUCUCCGAAAUACAGUGGCGGUCUCGCCGCAGCCUCUCCUGCGCAGUAGUUUGCACACUCGCAUCGGGAGCGCGGCGCGUCCACAGCCGUUAAACACCCAACUUCUGAAAUGUUGACCUCGGAUCAGGUAGGAAUACCCGCUGAACUUAAGAU